CCCCAGGUUUCACUGGAAACCAUACAAUUAGAUAAGAAAAAUCCAG
Non-coding RNA from Tauraco erythrolophus (red-crested turaco), 46 nucleotides. NCBI's taxonomy places the organism in Eukaryota, Metazoa, Chordata, Aves, Musophagiformes, Musophagidae. The record is from Rfam.